AAGAAUAANCCCCGGCUAAUUUCGUGCCAGCAGCCGCGGUAAUACGUAGGGNGCAAGCGUUAUUCGGAAUUACUGGGCGUAAAGCGUGCGCAGGCGGUUGUGCAAGUCAGAUGUGAAAUCCCGGGGCUUANCCUGGGAACUGCAUUUGAGACUGCAAGUCUAGAGUAUGUCAGAGGGGGGUAGAAUUCCACGUGUAGCAGUGAAAUGCGUAGAUAUGUGGAGGAACCCCGAUGGCGAAGGCACCCCCCUGGGAUAUCACUGACGCUCAGGCACGAAAGCGUGGGGAGCAAACAGGAUUAGAUCCCCUGGUAGUCCACCCCCUAAACGAUGU
RNAcentral lists this ribosomal RNA (331 nucleotides) under uncultured bacterium. RNAcentral describes it as "bacterial SSU rRNA". It matches the Rfam family "Bacterial small subunit ribosomal RNA", at positions 482 to 812 of the family's 1533-position model. The record is from RNAcentral.